Molecule: long non-coding RNA, 818 nt
Organism: Phyllopteryx taeniolatus (common seadragon)
Lineage: Eukaryota; Metazoa; Chordata; Actinopteri; Syngnathiformes; Syngnathidae
Exons: 4
Source: RefSeq, a predicted model, not a curated record
UUCGCGAGACGCCUCCGUGGUUCACAUGAACCGCUACCAAGUGGAAGUCUAACAUCCAACUCGUCGUCCAAAAUUCCGAGGCAGCCGAGCUGGGUCGUCCUGAGCGAGUGCGCUCCCCGCAGAAGACCUAGUUAGUUGAUGUGUGACAUAGAAAAGGUGAGGGAGGGGACGAUCCACUCAUGGCCUCACCAUACACAGUGUCUUGGUGCGGAUCUCCAAGAUCGAUGGCGGCUGCAGGGGUGUGGCAAUGGCAAACAGUGCCAGCUGUGGGGGAACCUGCGUCCCAACCUCUGACACCUGGUUCUGACCGUGGAGAAAUUUCAGGCGUCCACAGAAGUUCAAGGCCUGGAGAGAAAAAAGUUAGCAGAACGAUCAGCCAGACGAGUUGUCAAGCAAGCAUCGGAAUCGGCAGCAGAAGUUUCUCUCCAGGAAGGAUGAGUUUUCUGGAGGGAUGACUUUUGGGUCGUAGGUUAUCAGGUCGUACCAGAUUUGGAUGAUGCAAGGGUGACUUACUCCUGCCCUCUGCAAUACCAUCCUGCUGGCUGAAAUGCGGAUUGAAAGCAAAGUCAAGUUGCCGUCUGAAAAGAGCUCGAUCGUCUGUGUGGAUCAACUCAAACACGCUCUGAUGGAUGACAUCUGACUGUAACACAGAGUGGUGUAUUAGGUCUCCUCACCUCCACACAUAAAAAGUAAUUUCCCCAGCAAUGUCUGCUGGUUGAGUUUAACUUUGCAAUUAGUUGGCUUUUCUCAUUUGUCUAAUAUCUGCCAUUAAAGAACAGUUAGCGCUGCCUUGACUGAGUUUAAUUUGCUCCGCCACC